CGAAGAAAUCGGGGCUAAUACCGCAUAAUGCAGCGGCACCUAAUGGUGACAGUUGUUAAAGCGGGGGAUCGAAAGACCUCGCGUCUAGAGAGGAGCCUGCGGCGGAUUAGCUAGUUGGUAAGGUAACGGCUUACCAAGGCGAUGAUCCGUAGCCGGCCUGAGAGGGCGGUCGGCCACACUGACACUGACAUACGGGUCAGACUCCUACGGGAGGCAGCAGUCGGGAAUUUUGGGCAAUGGGCGAAAGCCUGACCCAGCAACGCCGCGUGAAGGAUGAAAUCCCUCGGGAUGUAAACUUCGCAAGAACGGGAAGAAUAAGUAAGAGUUAAUAUCUCUUACGAUGACGGUACCGUUUGUAAGCUCCGGCUAACUCCGUGCCAGCAGCCGCGGUAAUACGGGGGGAGCAAGCGUUGUUCGGAUUUACUGGGCGUAAAGGGCGCGUAGGCGGCCACCGCAAGUCGGUUGUGAAAUCUCCGGGCUUAACCCGGAAAGGUCAACCGAUACUGCGGGGCUAGAGUGCAGAAGGGGCAACUGGAAUUCUCGGUGUAGCGGUGAAAUGCGUAGAUAUCGAGAGGAACACCUGCGGCGAAGGCGGGUUGCUGGGCUGACACUGACGCUGAGGCGCGAAAGCUAGGGGAGCGACG
This 644-nucleotide ribosomal RNA is filed under the name uncultured soil bacterium. Its description in RNAcentral is "bacterial SSU rRNA". It matches the Rfam family "Bacterial small subunit ribosomal RNA", at positions 150 to 773 of the family's 1533-position model. The record is from RNAcentral.